GACGAACGCUGGCGGCGUGCCUAAUACAUGCAAGUCGAACGAACUCUGGUAUUGAUUGGUGCUUGCAUCAUGAUUUACAUUUGAGUGAGUGGCGAACUGGUGAGUAACACGUGGGAAACCUGCCCAGAAGCGGGGGAUAACACCUGGAAACAGAUGCUAAUACCGCAUAACAACUUGGACCGCAUGGUCCGAGUUUGAAAGAUGGCUUCGGCUAUCACUUUUGGAUGGUCCCGCGGCGUAUUAGCUAGAUGGUGGGGUAACGGCUCACCAUGGCAAUGAUACGUAGCCGACCUGAGAGGGUAAUCGGCCACAUUGGGACUGAGACACGGCCCAAACUCCUACGGGAGGCAGCAGUAGGGAAUCUUCCACAAUGGACGAAAGUCUGAUGGAGCAACGCCGCGUGAGUGAAGAAGGGUUUCGGCUCGUAAAACUCUGUUGUUAAAGAAGAACAUAUCUGAGAGUAACUGUUCAGGUAUUGACGGUAUUUAACCAGAAAGCCACGGCUAACUACGUGCCAGCAGCCGCGGUAAUACGUAGGUGGCAAGCGUUGUCCGGAUUUAUUGGGCGUAAAGCGAGCGCAGGCGGUUUUUUAAGUCUGAUGUGAAAGCCUUCGGCUCAACCGAAGAAGUGCAUCGGAAACUGGGAAACUUGAGUGCAGAAGAGGACAGUGGAACUCCAUGUGUAGCGGUGAAAUGCGUAGAUAUAUGGAAGAACACCAGUGGCGAAGGCGGCUGUCUGGUCUGUAACUGACGCUGAGGCUCGAAAGUAUGGGUAGCAAACAGGAUUAGAUACCCUGGUAGUCCAUACCGUAAACGAUGAAUGCUAAGUGUUGGAGGGUUUCCGCCCUUCAGUGCUGCAGCUAACGCAUUAAGCAUUCCGCCUGGGGAGUACGGCCGCAAGGCUGAAACUCAAAGGAAUUGACGGGGGCCCGCACAAGCGGUGGAGCAUGUGGUUUAAUUCGAAGCUACGCGAAGAACCUUACCAGGCCUUGACAUACUAUGCAAAUCUAAGAGAUUAGACGUUCCCUUCGGGGACAUGGAUACAGGUGGUGCAUGGUUGUCGUCAGCUCGUGUCGUGAGAUGUUGGGUUAAGUCCCGCAACGAGCGCAACCCUUAUUAUCAGUUGCCAGCAUUAAGUUGGGCACUCUGGUGAGACUGCCGGUGACAAACCGGAGGAAGGUGGGGAUGACGUCAAAUCAUCAUGCCCCUUAUGACCUGGGCUACACACGUGCUACAAUGGAUGGUACAACGAGUUGCGAACUCGCGAGAGUAAGCUAAUCUCUUAAAGCCAUUCUCAGUUCGGAUUGUAGGCUGCAACUCGCCUACAUGAAGUCGGAAUCGCUAGUAAUCGCGGAUCAGCAUGCCGCGGUGAAUACGUUCCCGGGCCUUGUACACACCGCCCGUCACACCAUGAGAGUUUGUAACACCCAAAGUCGGUGGGGUAACCUUUUAGGAACUAGCCGCCUAAGGUGGGACAGAUGAUUAGGGUG
Molecule: ribosomal RNA, 1489 nt
Filed under: Lactiplantibacillus pentosus
Lineage: Bacteria; Bacillati; Bacillota; Bacilli; Lactobacillales; Lactobacillaceae
Description: bacterial SSU rRNA
Rfam family: Bacterial small subunit ribosomal RNA
Source: RNAcentral